This 449-nucleotide ribosomal RNA is filed under the name uncultured bacterium. RNAcentral's name for it is "partial 16S ribosomal RNA". It matches the Rfam family "Bacterial small subunit ribosomal RNA", at positions 29 to 523 of the family's 1533-position model. The record is from RNAcentral.
AACGAACGCUGGCGGCAUGCCUAACACAUGCAAGUCGAACGAGAUCUUCGGGUCUAGUGGCGCACGGGUGCGUAACGCGUGGGAAUCUGCCCUUUGGUUCGGAAUAACAGUUGGAAACGACUGCCAAUACCGGAUGAUGACGAAAGUCCAAAGAUUUAUCGCCAGAGGAUGAGCCCGCGUAGGAUUAGCUAGUUAGUGCGGUAAAGGCGCACCAAGGCGAAGAUCCUUAGCUGGUCUGAGAGGAUGAUCAGCCACACUGGGACUGAGACACGGCCCAGACUCCUACGGGAGGCAGCAGUGGGGAAUAUUGGACAAUGGGCGAAAGCCUGAUCCAGCAAUGCCGCGUGAGUGAUGAAGGCCUUAGGGUUGUAAAGCUCUUUUACCCGGGAUGAUAAUGACAGUACCGGGAGAAUAAGCUCCGGCUAACUCCGUGCCAGCCGCCGCCGUAA